Molecule: long non-coding RNA, 2739 nt
Organism: Populus trichocarpa (black cottonwood)
Lineage: Eukaryota; Viridiplantae; Streptophyta; Magnoliopsida; Malpighiales; Salicaceae
Exons: 3
Source: RefSeq, a predicted model, not a curated record
AGUGUUCGAACAAAGAAAACUUCUUAUCUUAAAACCUCAACACCAUUUUAACAUGUGGCCAAAGGGAACAUUUUAGAAAAAUCCAAUUAUCAACGGUUAGAUCACAAUGAGCAACAGCUUUAUGUAUCUACUAGACAAUGAUAAACUUGGGAAAUCUGCUAAAUACAUCACCGAGCAGGACAACGACAGCUCAAUGUCCCUGCACUAGCCACAAUGGCACUUCUUUCAUUACUAUAUAAUCCCUUUUGUUUCAGUUAGUUUGUUAAAACUAAACCUGCGUUUUAUCUUAUAAUGCAAAAUUGAAGGUCGUGUAACACAGAUAAACAGAAUAUAAUCAGAUACUUUUUUCAGCAGAUUUGCUGUCCAUAUUUCACGUUGUCUAAAAAUACACUUUAGGUAACAUUUAUGAGGUAAGCAGAUGACUAACCAAAUUCCAGAAGAAAAAACAAAUUUCCCAGAUGGAAUCAGAGUUUUCUUAUUCAUACAUUUCUUUUUCUGGAUAUAUAACAAACUAACUUUGCCCAAAUAUAGGUCAUGGCCCAAGAAACUUAUUUGCAAGUAUGAUUCAUGACAGCUUGUGGACGGACACCAUCAAUAUUGUUUUCAGAUUGCAAGUACAGAUUGGUCUCCAAGAAAAAGGAAAUAAAUUUGAAAUAUAUGGCAGAGAUUAAAAAAACAAAAAACACUGAUGUUCCUCUAAAUACUUCGAGAAAAAAAACAUGGACGUGUAAAAGUGGUGCAAAGGCACUAGUAAUUAAAUUUGAAUUCUCAGCCAGUAGCGAAACCUGUUUUAAGGUACCGGCGAUGCAACGAAGAGGAUUAGUCUCCUGACUUGGAAGGGUGCCAGAGGAUGCUGGAGGAUAUCCUGGUACAACCAAAAAAAAUAAUUUCGGAUCAACCAAAAUUUUUCCUUCAUUUUCAAGAGACUGGUUCCUCUCAGGAACUACUCGCCACCUGUUCUGUGUCUUUCACGUUCACGAUAUUCUAUCUUCUUGUUCUUCGUAUUCCUGGCUACUUCCUGUUAUGAGCCUUAGAUUUCCAUGGAAAAUCCAAGAUUUCAAAAUUUGAAGCUUGUGUUCGUUGUAUAAUGCUUCUUGGUUUUUGUCUUGAGACUCGGGGUUCUCGUGGCUGCUGUUGAUGAGUUUGAUGAGUCGAACAAAGGUGAUGGUUAUGAUUCUGGGGUCACAGAAGAAGAACAGAUUGAUGAUAAUAGCACUAUUGAUGGUGGUGCUUAUGCUGCCAGCUCUAAUGGUGUUAGAAUGGACCAGGAAAUAUCCGAGCUCUGCAAUAGCGAUAUGAGUAGUUUUCUUCCUCCACCAUACAAAAACAUAUCAAACAUGAUCUGCAGACCAGUUUGGAAUACUUUUCUGUUGAGGGUGAGUUUUGAUGGUUUAUUUUUCUUUUAUCUCUUUGUAUCUAUACAUGGGUAUGGCCUAGUGUCAUCAUCUUGUGCAUGCAGCAUCACGAGAAAGAAGAUAAUGUAGUGAAUUCUAUAUUAUCUGCUGUAUACACAACCGGAUGGGUGGCAAUGGGGUUUUCAAAAGAUGGAAGGAUGGUUGGAUGGCUGGUUUAAUAGGAAAGGACAAGCAAGAAUCAAAGAGUCUUGCUUGCAAGUUACUAGGCUAUCACAAGACAUAGAGGAAGCAGGUGAAUUGGACCUCACAAAAGUUCCACCUGCUGUUGUGAUUCAUGGGGCUAUGAUUUACAAGGUAUUUCAAGCCAAGUUUGAAAACCCUCUCACUUCCCAACCAAUUAUAUUGGCUUUUGGAGCCAGCUAUCCCAAUCACUACCGCCUAUCAUCACAUGAUGACAAGACGACCAUUCUUUUCGACUUCACUGCAGGUUCUAUGUCUAAAGCACGUAUAAAUCCUGGGAAGAUGAAGAAGAAUCAUGGGGUAUUAGGUACCCUGGCAUGGGCUUCCUAGUGGGGCAAUUGUUGCAAGAUAAUUGAAGCAUAAAGAACCACUCUGGUAUUAUCUACAUGCGGGUAUUCAAUUUCUGGGGUUUCUCUUGGGGCUUGCCAAUGUGAUUCCUGGACAACAACUCGGCAAUAAGAUUAAUGCCAAGUACAUCACAUAAAGGCAUGGGGAUUUUUGCUCUCACUCUUAGUGUUCUUCAGAUAUUGGCUUUCUUUCUAAGGCCAAAGAGAGAUGCCAAGAUCUGCAAGGGCUGGAAAUGGUACCACCAUUGGUUUGGAAGGAUUGCCCUCUUCUUUGGAGCCUUCAAUAUUGUGAUGGGAAUCCAUUUAGGAGCUGCAGGGAUGUCAUGGAAGAUAGGCUUUCGUUUUCUAAUCACUACGACGAAACGUUGUCUUGGUUGAGGAGAUCAGAGAACACUAAUCCACCUGAGACCUUCCAAAUGAAUCCAAUUCAAUUACUUUUUAGAGGGCUAGAAAGCCAUGUCCAGCUACGUUCUGGUUCAAUCUUGGACCUAGCCAGGACCAGAUUAUUAAAACUAUCUUACAAAGCUGUUGACUAUUGGCAAUUUCAGUAGUGUUGGCUGGAUGCUAAGAAGAUGAUUAAACAGCUGGAUGAUUGUUCGUCAAGUUGGAGCAACCGGCAGGUUUUCUGGGCCAAAAACCCAGUUACUGUACAAAUCGAAGGAGUUGAUGGGACAUCCAUGUUGAAGGAUUUCCUUGUUGUGAGGAAAUGCUAGGUUUGGCAUGUUUUUUAGAUAUUUGGAAUCUGCGGGUUGCCCUGUCUUCUAUAGUGUUUGGCAAUUUAUAAUUUGCAAAGAAAA